AGUACAGCCGAAAGAUUUUAUAAGUUCAUUAUUUUCUAAUGUUUUUGCACUGAAUUAUUUCAGUGAAACAUAUUGUUUUCGAUCCGGUGCGUGAUCAUUGAAUUACUUGAGUGAUUUUCAUUGUUUUUCAGGGUUUCUUCAUUGGGGUAACGUUGUUUUCUCAUUUAUAUUUCAUUUUUUUUACUUAAUUAUAUUUUUCUCCUUGUGAAGGUGAGGAAGCCAGGGCGGCCAUGCAAGUUCAGGCCGCUCGAUGUCCAGACCCAGGAGGUUACCGAGGCAGGCAUGACCACAAAGGUCGCCGAAGGAUCCACCUGGU
This 316-nucleotide long non-coding RNA is filed under the name Brachypodium distachyon (stiff brome). RNAcentral describes it as "long non-coding RNA (BDIS_LNC003684)". The record is from RNAcentral. Lineage: Eukaryota; Viridiplantae; Streptophyta; Magnoliopsida; Poales; Poaceae.